GUCAAAAAUCCUAAGUUCUUGAAAGGUCACACUGGCGCUGUUUCAGUUGUGGAUGGAAUUUACGUAAACGAGCAUCUUAUUGUUGCAACUGCUUCCACCGAUUCAACGAUCAAAUUUUGGCAUCAAGAUUCCUCUUCGAAUGAUUUCGUUUGUGUGCAAACCAUUUCGCUGGGCAGCGGUUUCUGUUUUGCCAUCAAAAUGUUUUACAUCAAAAACACAGAUUGUGUACUGCUUGCGUUGGCAACCGAUGAUUACAACGUUCAUUUGUAUGGUUCUGUCCAUACAGCGGAUGUCGCUGAUACACAGCAUAGUGUUCCACAUCAUUAAACAGGCCCAGACCCAAACGAAGGAAUCGAUGCCAAACGUUAUCAAUAUGGAUCCAGCGCUGGUGGAAACAUAUUCAAGGCUUUUGGUGUACACAGAAAUUGAAUCGCUCGGAAUAAAGGGAUUCUUGAGUCAAUUGUUGCCUGCUGUUUUUAAAUCUCCUGCAUGGGGUAUAUUACACACACUACUCGAAAUGCUUUCGUAUCGAAUGCAUCACAUUCAGCCGUUCUACCGAGUGCAAUUACUUUCGCAUCCACAUUCGUUGGCGUCCGUGCCACACACAAAUCUGACUCAAUUACAUUUAUGCGUUGAAUCAACGGCAUUACGUUUGAUAACCGGACUGGGAAGUGCUGAAAUACCGCUGCAACUCACUCGGUACUUUACGGACCAAAACUACCUGGCAGUGCUGUUAGUUUGGAGAGCGAAGAGUUCAAUCGAACGUUAAUACUGACGAUUGCCCGAUCGAUGCAUAUAACCGGAUCUGGUAACGACGAUCAAUCUACAGCUUGGUGCAAAGAUCUGCUAAUCACAAUAAUGCAAAAUACUCCGCAUUCAUGGGCUUCGCACACGUUGGCCUGUUUUCCAACAAUUUUGAACACAUUUUUCUCGCAGAAUACCACGCCGAAGGAAAACAAACAGCAGCUGAAAAAGUCAGUUGAAGAGGAGUAUCGGAAUUGGGUAUCAAUGUCCAACGAAAACGACAUCAUUGCUCACUUUAGUGUGGCCGGAACACCUGAUUCUUUUUUAAAUUAAAACGACGAUUUUUUUACGAAGAGAUUUGAUCGA
This is a long non-coding RNA of Bradysia coprophila, 1110 nucleotides long. The record is from RefSeq and is a predicted model, not a curated record. NCBI's taxonomy places the organism in Eukaryota, Metazoa, Arthropoda, Insecta, Diptera, Sciaridae.